This 27-nucleotide non-coding RNA is filed under the name Homo sapiens (human). The record is from RNAcentral. Lineage: Eukaryota; Metazoa; Chordata; Mammalia; Primates; Hominidae.
UGCCACACGACAGCUCUCACCUCUCUA